Molecule: ribosomal RNA, 414 nt
Filed under: uncultured microorganism
Description: bacterial SSU rRNA
Rfam family: Archaeal small subunit ribosomal RNA
Source: RNAcentral
GCGCACCAGUCGAGAAAACUUCACACUGUGCGAAAGCACGAUGAGGGAAUCCCAAGUGCUUGCACGUAAGUGUAAGCUGUUUCUCUGUUUAAAACGCAGAGAGAGUAAGGGCCGGGUAAGACGGGUGCCAGCCGCCGCGGUAAUACCUGCAGCUCAAGUGGUGACCGUUAUUAUUGGGCCUAAAACGUCCGUAGCCGGUUUAAUAAAUGCCUGGGUAAAUCGUGUAGCUUAACUAUACGAAUUCCGGGUGGACUGUUAAACUCGAGACCGGGAGAAGUUAGAGGUACUCCUGGGGUAGAGGUGAAAUUCUGUAAUCCUAGGGGGACCACCAGUGGUGAAGGCGUCUAACUAGAACGGGUCUGACGGUGAGGGACGAAGCCCUGGGGCGCAAACGGGAUUAGAUACCCCUGUAGU